This 28-nucleotide non-coding RNA is filed under the name Bombyx mori (domestic silkworm). Lineage: Eukaryota; Metazoa; Arthropoda; Insecta; Lepidoptera; Bombycidae. The record is from RNAcentral.
UAAGCGAACUGUCAAGUCAAGGUACGUC